This 271-nucleotide unclassified non-coding RNA is filed under the name uncultured fungus. RNAcentral describes it as "partial contains 5.8S ribosomal RNA, internal transcribed spacer 2, and large subunit ribosomal RNA". The stretch from base 1 to 52 matches the Rfam family "5.8S ribosomal RNA", at positions 103 to 154 of the family's 154-position model. Lineage: Eukaryota; Fungi. The record is from RNAcentral.
AACGCACCUUGCGCCCUCUGGUAUUCCGGAGGGCAUGCCUGUCUGAGUGUCAUGAACACCUCAACCCCGUGGUUUUCUUACUAAAUCGCGUGGGCUUGGAUGUGGGCGUCUGCCUUUACGGCUCGCCUGAAAUGAGUUAGCGACCUCGGGGUCCGGAUGUGAAGACGUGAUAAGUUUCGUCUUGUGAUCCGUUCACUCGUGGGCCGCUCCCAAAGACCAAAUACUUUUGACAUCUGACCUCAGAUCAGGUAGGACUACCCGCUGAACUUAA